GUCAUAAUAUAAUUAAGCUGGUGACAACGCUUUUGAAACAGACACACAAUGAGCCCAUACUUCAUCUCUUUUCUGUAAAUAUUUGGAUUCAUUUCCAAUUAAACUAGGUCUAUCCGCGAUAUAUUUGAUAAGGGUGUCAUGACACUCUUUUCCUUCUUGUACAAGCUCCUGGCAACAAGGAAUGGAUACAACUCCAUUUGCAAAAACUUGAGAAAUGAUAUUGAGCGCACACUUUGGACUGAUUUUAACAACACAUUGAUCCCAUAACUUUUUGGGUUCAUUUUCUUCUACCGCUAAUGAAGGAAUACAUGUACUCGCCACAACUAGAACAACAAAAGACACCAUAAUAAUGUUAAGCUUGGCCAUGGUUUUUUUGGCUAUAUGGAGAGUUAAUGUUUAAUUUUUCUCAAUAUAGAAUAAGAAAAUAGCUUUUAAAUUUAUGAUCUGGUUUGAAUAAACGAUGAUAACCCUAUUUAUAGAUAUGAAUAAUCAAUAUUAAACAUUUAUUGUUGAGAAAUAACUUUGAUUUUGAAGGUUUUUACUUCAUUAAACUUUGUUAAGUUACAUUUUUCUUGAUGAAGUUAUUAAUUGUUUAGGAUAAUCAUUUAUAAACAAUUAAAUUAGCAUUCUUGUAAUAUAGAAAUAAAGACACAAAAAGAAUUUAUACAGGUAUUUAAAUUCCAACUAAUAAACUACUGAAUAUUGUUGUUGUCAGCAACAUAUAUUUUGGUGGUUGUAUAUCAACUUAGUAACAAAAACAAAAAGUACAGUCUAACAUGUGAUAAGUCUCAAAAAUGAUUGUAGAAUUAAUGUUUGAGUAUAUAUGAAAAUAUAUCACUCUAGGGUUAAAAGAAAGAGUUUCAGAUUUUAUAUUUUCUUUAUUUCGUGAUGUAGGAUGCUUGUUAAUAAUUUUAUAUUUUCCAUUUUAUAAUUUCAUUAUGCAGAGAUGGUUAUGAGUUAAACAUGAUUCCAUUAGGAUAAACACUUACAAAUAUCAAUUCUUCAUACAAAAAUAAUAUGUAAAAUCUGUAUAAUAAUUUCUUUAAUAAAAAACCAAAAUAAAAAUGAAAACAUUGUUUCAAAGUUAAGCUUGCGAAAUUAAAUUUUAUCUGUUUAUAACUUACAUAAUAGUUUAAUUACAAGAUAUAUUUCGCAAAAAAACUUAUGUGUUUCAUAUUAAACAUAUAGAAAACAUAUAUAUAUAUAUAAAUAUAAUUUGGUUCAUCUUUCGAUUAUAAUUCAAAUAAAUUUUUAUGAUUUUAUUAAAAAACAUAUGUUAAUUGUUUUGUAAACUCUAAUUUUUUAAAUGGAAAACGUUGUGCGACCAAUUGCAAGAGAUAUCUUAAAUGUAAUAAGCCUGUUUUGAUCUUUUGUUGUCGUGAAAGGCUAGAGUCUUAUGAUUUCAAAUAAAAUAUGUGUUUCCAUAUUAUGCUAUUUAAGUUAAUUAAAAUUGUGAGUACAUAAAAAUUUCAAAUAAGUUUUUUUUUUUAAUUUGGGAUUACACCUUUUUAUUUGGUAUUCAAAAGUGAGAAUAUAAUGAAAUAAUGGUAAAGAAAACAUGCAACACAAGGCGAAAAGUAUUAAAUAUCUCAUUAAUAUAUAAAUGAUUUUAUUUUAAACUUUUAUGAAAAAACAAAUUAUUUUAUCAAAAUUACAUAUAAUUACGUCAUAAUAUAAUUAAGCCGGUGAUAACGCUUUUGAAACAGACACACAAUGAGCCCAUACUUCAUCUCUUUUCUGUAAAUAUUUGGAUUCAUUUCCAAUUAAACUAGGUCUAUCCGCGAUAUAUUUGAUAAGGGUGUCAUGACACUCUUUUCCUUCUUGUACAAGCUCCUGGCAACAAGGAAUGGAUACAACUCCAUUGCCAAAAACUUGAGAAAUGAUAUUGAGCGCACACUUUGGACUGAUUUUAAUAACACAUUGAUCCCAUAACUUUUUGGGUUCAUUUUCUUCUACGGCUAAUGAAGGAAUACAUGUACUCGCCACAACUAGAACAACAAAAGACACCAUAAUAAUGUUAAGCUUGGUCAUGGUUUUUCUGGCUAUAUGGAAAGUUAAUGUUUAAUUUUUCUCAAUAUAGAAUAAGAAAAUAG
This 2093-nucleotide long non-coding RNA is filed under the name Brassica rapa (field mustard). Its description in RNAcentral is "long non-coding RNA (BRAP_LNC004727)". The record is from RNAcentral. Lineage: Eukaryota; Viridiplantae; Streptophyta; Magnoliopsida; Brassicales; Brassicaceae.